CAGUUAUCGUUUAUUUGAUAGUACCUUCUACAUGGAUAUCUGUGGUAAUUCUAGAGCUAAUACAUGCUAAAAACCCCAACUUCGGGAGGGGUGUAUUUAUUAGAUAAAAAACCAAUGCCCUCCGGGGCUCCUUGGUGAUUCAUGAUAACUUAACGAAUCGCAUGGCCUUGCGCCGGCGAUGGUUCAUUCAAAUUUCUGCCCUAUCAACUUUCGAUGGUAGGAUAGUGGCCUACCAUGGUAUCAACGGGUAACGGAGGAUUAGGGUUCGAUCCCGGAGAGGGAGCCUGAGAAACGGCUACCACAUCCAAGGAAGGCAGCAGGCGCGCAAAUUACCCAAUCCCGACACGGGGAGGUAGUGACAAUAAAUACUGAUACAGGGCUCUUUUGGGUCUUGUAAUUGGAAUGAGUACAAUUUAAAUACAUUAACGAGGAACAAUUGGAGGGCAAGUCUGGUGCCAGCAGCCGCGGUAAUUCCAGCUCCAAUAGCGUAUAUUAAAGUUGUUGCAGUUAAAAAGCUCGUAGUUGAACCUUGGGCUUGGUUGGCCGGUCCGCCUCACCGCGUGCACUGGUCCGACCGAGCCUUUCCUUCUGAGAAACCGCAUGCCCUUCACUGGGCGUGUCGGGGAAUCAGGACUUUUACUUUGAAAAAAUUAGAGUGUUCAAAGCAGGCAUAUGCUCGAAUACAUUAGCAUGGAAUAAUAGAAUAGGACGUGUGGUUCUAUUUUGUUGGUUUCUAGGACCGCCGUAAUGAUUAAUAGGGAUAGUCGGGGCUGUCUGUAUUCCAAUGUCAGAGGUGAAAUUCUUGGAUUACUGGAAGACAAACUACUGCGAAAGCAUUCAGCAAGGAUGUUUUCAUUAAUCAGUGAACGAAAGUUAGGGGAUCGAAGACGAUCAGAGAUUCUCCAUGUUGGCACCCAGGUGUCCGGUCGUCCACAGUACAGCUAGUCCGAUCUUCGGGCGACAUCAUCCAAUUGCGGAGCCCCUGCCUCUUUAGCAAGUCGCGGGUGAUCCACAGCCAAGCCCUUCGGCCUCGGAUCAGAUCUAUCCAAGCCAAUGGCGCAGUCUACAGACUGAAUGGAGAUGGGCCGAGGGCUCUAGAAGAGCUCCGGUUUUUGAGACAGUCGAGUCCAGCGCUUCACAGCGUUGGUAUUCACGCAGAUACCGUCGUAGUCUUAACCAUAAACUAUGCCGACUAGGGAUCGGACGAUGUUAUCAUUUUGACUCGUUCGGCACCUUACGAGAAAUCAUAAGUUUUUGGGUUCUGGGGGGAGUAUGGUCGCAAGGCUGAAACUUAAAGAAAUUGACGGAAGCGCACCAAAACUCUGGCUUUCCACGCCUGGUGGUGCUACAAACGUGGGCCCUCGGGCUCCGAUUAGUCUGUCCUACGGGGUGGGCGAGGUCUUUGGACUGUGAGGGGACUCCGGGCGCCGCGGCGCCCGAGUAUCCGCAGCUAUGGUGUUCAAACAGCCUGUAGUUCACAGGUCAAGUGGGGACCGGCGGGGGCACAGCGUGCCCACUGCUCAUGAUAUGAUCGGCCCCUGGGCGCAAAGUCCGGGGAUGUUGGCGCCAGGAGUGGAGCCUGCGGCUUAAUUUGACUCAACACGGGAAAACUCACGAGGUCCGGACAUACUUAGGAUUGACAGAUUGAGAGCUCUUUCUUGAUCGUAUGGAUGGUGGUGCAUGGCCGUUCUUAGUUGGUGGAGUGAUUUGUCUGCUUAAUUGCGAUAACGAACGAGACCUUAUUCUGCUAAAUAGCCCAGCUUGCUUUGGCAGGUUGCUGGCUUCUUAGAGAGACUAUCGGCUCAAGCCGAUGGAAGUUUGAGGCAAUAACAGGUCUGUGAUGCCCUUAGAUGUUCUCGGCCGCACGCGCGCUACACUGACAGAGCCAACGAGUACACUUCCUUGGCCGAAAGGCUUGGGUAAUCUUAGAAACUCUGUCGUGCUGGGGAUAGAGCAUUGCAAUUAUUGCUCUUCAACGAGGAAUUCCUAGUAGGUGCACGUCAUCAGCGUGCGCCGGAUUCGUCCCUGCGCUUUGUACACACCGCCCGUCGCUACUACCGAUUGAAUGGCUCAGUGAGGCCUUCGGACUGGCUCAGGGAGGUCGGCAACGACCACCCAGAGCUGGAAAGUUGGUCAAACUCGGUCAUUUAGAGGAAGUAAAAGUCGU
RNAcentral lists this ribosomal RNA (2167 nucleotides) under Strangospora pinicola. RNAcentral describes it as "partial 18S ribosomal RNA". It matches the Rfam family "Eukaryotic small subunit ribosomal RNA". The record is from RNAcentral. Lineage: Eukaryota; Fungi; Ascomycota; Lecanoromycetes; Strangosporaceae.